GCAAAAAGACCAAGAAAUUAAACCCAUUAAGGGCUGUCAAUAUCCAGUAGAAAUAAUCAAGUCUGCUUUUGUUAAGAUCAUUCCUUAGCCAUCCAUUUUCUUCUCCACCAGUUGUUCUUUCAACAAUCUUAACAAUUGCAGUACUUAACCAACUUCCAAUCCCAAUCUCAGAAAGAAACAAUGCGCUACUGAUACUUCUAGUCCCGUCAGUUGCUUCAUCGUAGAAAAAUUGCAGCUGCCCCACAUAGGUGAAAACUUCAGCUGCCCCUACUAAAAAGUAUUGUGGAAAUAACCAGAACACGCUCAUAUCGGAUGGGUUAGCGCUGUCGCGUCUCUUUUUCUCCACCAAAGCAGCAGAGGUCACGGCAAAGAUAGAAACAAAUAGGCCCACACCCAUGCGUUGCAAUGAUGUGAUGCCCCGACGGUGGCCGGUGUAUUUACGGAUGAUUGGGACGAUCAUUUUUUCAUAGAUGGGUACGAGAAUGAGGGCAUUGAUG
RNAcentral lists this unclassified non-coding RNA (497 nucleotides) under Hevea brasiliensis (rubber tree). Lineage: Eukaryota; Viridiplantae; Streptophyta; Magnoliopsida; Malpighiales; Euphorbiaceae. The record is from RNAcentral.